This 422-nucleotide ribosomal RNA is filed under the name uncultured prokaryote. RNAcentral describes it as "bacterial SSU rRNA". It matches the Rfam family "Bacterial small subunit ribosomal RNA", at positions 355 to 774 of the family's 1533-position model. The record is from RNAcentral.
UGAGGAAUAUUGGACAAUGGAUGGAAAUCUGAUCCAGCCAUGCCGCGUGCAGGAAGACGGCCCUAUGGGUUGUAAACUGCUUUUGUAUGGGAGCAAUAAGGUCUAUGCGUAGACUGAUGAGAGUACCAUACGAAUAAGCAUCGGCUAACUCCGUGCCAGCAGCCGCGGUAAUACGGGGGAUGCAAGCGUUAUCCGGAUUUAUUGGGUUUAAAGGGUGCGUAGGCGGUUUGAUAAGUCAGCGGUGAAAUAUUUCAGCUUAACUGAAAGGGUGCCGUUGAUACUGUCAGGCUUGAAUAUGGUUGCUGUGGGUGGAAUGUGUGGUGUAGCGGUGAAAUGCUUAGAUAUCACACAGAAUAUCGAUUGCGAAGGCAGCUCACUAAACUGUAACUGACGCUGAGGCACGAAAGCGUGGGGAGCAAACA